RNA transcript from Zingiber officinale, 1526 nucleotides. RefSeq lists it as uncharacterized. Lineage: Eukaryota; Viridiplantae; Streptophyta; Magnoliopsida; Zingiberales; Zingiberaceae. The transcript has 11 exons. The record is from RefSeq and is a predicted model, not a curated record.
GUAACUGAUUAGUUGCUUUAUUCUUCUUCUAUAUUUUAUCACUCUUGCUUGUUUCUGUAUGCUCACGAUGCUGGUAAUUCGAGUUCUGUGGCUGCUCAGAGGUGGUCAAAUAGAAGCGGGAAGACGUCAGGUGAGCCGUUCAGAAGAGGGAGGAGCGGCGGAGCCUUGGCUGAAGAAAAAGGCGGCGGCUGGCGGCGACUUGUACAUGGCGGUGGCUGGCUGCGGUUGCACGGAAGAGAGUAGAAAUGAGGGCCGCAACCUUCCUGUGAUUGGCGGAGAGGGGCGGUGCGGGUGAUGCCCCCUCGUGAGAGGCGGUGGCCGCACGCGAGGUUGGGUCGUCCGCCCUGUCGCGAUGGUUGCCGGCGGCAGCUUGUACGAGUUUCCCAUUCCGAUGUCGGAUGUGGUGUUUUGAAGAGACGAUCAUGGCGGAAUCUCCGAGCUUGAUAGCCUACAAAGUUGUGUUUUGUGCAUUGGGAUGUUUCAUGUUGGCUACCCUCGUCUACACUAUGGUGACUGAUGGUUCGCCUUUUCGAGUCGAGCUCUUGACACCGUGGAUGAUUGCAACUUUGAUAGACUUCUAUGUCAAUGUUGUUGCUAUAGCAGUUUGGGUUGUCUACAAAGAAUCAACUUGGAUAAAAGCACUUAUGUGGGUGGUUCUUUUAGUAUGUUUUGGCAGUGUGGCUACUUGUGCUUAUAUUACCCUGAAGCUGUUCAAUAUUUCAUCUCAAGAUCCAAAAAUUUCUCUGAGACAACUUUUGUUGAGGGAGGAUCAUGACUGUCAUGCAAAAUGCUCAUCUAUUAUUCUUGGGAGAGUUGUUUUUAGCACCUUGGGUGUAUUUGUGUUAGCAGUUGUUGUUUAUACUGUAGCAACAGAUGGACUUCCUUUUCGAAUGGACUUGUUGACACCGUGGAUGGCUGCUACCUUAAUUGACUUCUACAUUAAUGUCCUUGUUAUAUCAGUAUGGGUUGUUCAUAAGGAGCCAACAUGGAUAUCUGCAUUUAUUUGGAUUUGCUUGUUGAUUUGCUUUGGCAGCAUCACAACGUGUGCUUAUAUCGUCAUUCAACUUUUUCGGCUCUCCUUGCAAGAACCAAUGUACAAGGUUUUAUCUAGCACUCAAGCCAAACUUGGAAGUACAUCAUCCUCAAAGUAAUGUUCAAAUGCCUCUAGGUACAAAGAAUAGCCACAUCUUACUGGAUUCCACCAUUUCAGAGUUGUUCAGAAGUAUUCAAUUCUCUGCAUACACAAUUCCUCCAUUGUGUGAAUGAAGCAAAUUACUACAACUUACAGUAUCAAUCUGGAUCUAUCAUCGUCAAAGAGUUAGACUUUAGCAGGAAAAUAUUGAAGCAUAAGAAUAUUAGAGUGGUUGUGUUUUGACUCAAUCUAGUUUCUCCUAUUUCCACCUCAUUAUGUUGACCUAAAUUAGAUGAUUGUGUACUUUAUUUGUUAAAAAACACAAAUGACAGUUGACUUCCUUGAUGUUGAUAGUUGAAAACAUUUCAACUUUUUAGGUGCCACCAUUCAUUAA